Molecule: long non-coding RNA, 1055 nt
Filed under: Macaca mulatta (Rhesus monkey)
Lineage: Eukaryota; Metazoa; Chordata; Mammalia; Primates; Cercopithecidae
Description: lncRNA (ENSMMUG00000056091.1)
Source: RNAcentral
GCCGCUGCUAACUAGAACAUAAUCUGAUGGCUGAAGAUAGAGGGGGGACACAAAAAUCAGUCACAAAAUAGAGUUUGGUAAACUUUAUAACAAAUUUAUGAAAUAAUGUGAAAGUAUUAAAAAAAUGAGAAAGUUAAAACAGUAUUUUUGGAAUGAGAUGCCUUUGGAAAAGAAAUGACAGUUGAGCUGGGAACCACCUACUGGGAGUAUUUUCAUCACUUCCAAAACCAAGAUACCCCUAUGUGCAGGUUCUUGUCUAUUUUAUAACCCAUGCAAACAGUAUUCUGCAGUUUGUUCACUUCGAGAAGAUAUUUAAUAGCUGCUUCUGCAGUUGAAAAGUUGAACCUGUAAUUGGAAGGCACGAGUUUGUCCUCAGAGCACAGAAGCUGGAAUUGUGACUUCCUUCUUACCUCUUCUGCGCCCUACUCACACAAUGACCAACGAGGUUUGCAGUCUGCGUUUGUGGCUAGAAGGGCAGUGAAGACAAUACCUAUAUAUGACCAUCAGCUUAGAAAAAAAGAGGCCUUAAGUAAACUAGCCAAUUGAUUGGUCCUUAAAGAAUCAAGAAAGAAGAUUCAACAAUAGUCACAUAAAAAUAAGAAGAGCAUCAGUCCUGUCUUUCUUGCCCUGAAUCCUGCCAGUGCCACCCAAGUUUGCCUCUUGUCAGUAGUGCUUCCUUCUCUGGCAGACAUCUUCAGAGGAGAAAACAGGUGGCACCGAUCCAAGCAUGUGUGAUAAUAGACAUGCCUGGUUUCCUAGGUAGGCAAAGAAGCAGCAGCUGUGGUUAUAUCUCCAUGUAGCUGGGGAGAAGAAAGAAAGAAAAGGAAGAGAUGAAUUUAAUGAAAUUGAACAAACUCUUCAGUUUCCCCAAGUCACCAAUACAAUAGAAGAUAUGCUGGGUGAACUGCUUUUCUAAAACAAAUUUUAAUUUAUUUUGUUAUUAUUAGUCACUUAUCGGUGCCUAUAAAACUGUUGUUUAUCUAUAUGCUUGCUAUGGACUUUGUGAUAAUUCCUUUGGAUGUGUAAUGUGUCUUAGUUCUUUACAUAAAAUAAAG